RNAcentral lists this long non-coding RNA (539 nucleotides) under Anas platyrhynchos platyrhynchos (common mallard). Its description in RNAcentral is "lncRNA (ENSAPLG00000019258.1)". Lineage: Eukaryota; Metazoa; Chordata; Aves; Anseriformes; Anatidae. The record is from RNAcentral.
GUGAUGCUGAAAUUCCAGCAGCGCAGAUAGUGUUUUUCUAUCUGCUAUGGUUGCCUUAAGCUUUUGGGAGAUGGAAAUAUUUCAGGACUGUAUGUGAUUGUGGACGUUUUCUGGAGCAUUCACCAAAAGAGAGAGUACUGGCACCCUAGAAGAUGGACAUUUGACAGGCCACAAUAGACUGCUCCUUUCCCAGGUGGUUCAGAUGUAUGUCAGUAGACAGUGCCGAUAAAUGCUCUUCCAGCCUGAUCCUGUUCGAUCUGAUGUACAAACAGAUGCAAAAGAUAUUCAAGCCUAUGGAGUGAAACAGUGGUGCUUGCUGCUCGACAUGAAAGAUAUAUCUUCUGUGGGAGCUCAUUUCUUUUCUUUUGUUACAACAGAAAAUAAAAAGAUUUUAAUAAAAGUGAAGAUAAAACACUUGAUAAUAUGUCUGUGAACAUAGUUCCAUUUUACCUCAGCUGUGGCAUGAAAGACCAUGAAAUAUCUUCAGCUGGCUCUUCAUUAAAUCACACUAUCUUUAAACAUAUUUCAAGGAAAGUAAG